Molecule: ribosomal RNA, 253 nt
Filed under: uncultured bacterium
Lineage: Bacteria
Description: partial 16S ribosomal RNA
Rfam family: Bacterial small subunit ribosomal RNA
Source: RNAcentral
UACGUAGGGUCCGAGCGUUGUCCGGAAUUACUGGGCGUAAAGCGUGCGUAGACGGUUAUUUAAGUCAGGUGUGAAAGCCCAGGGCUCAACCUUGGAAUUGCAUUUGAGACUGAAUAGCUAGGGUGCGGAAGAGGGAAGCGGAAUUUCCGGUGUAGCGGUGAAAUGCGUAGAUAUCGGAAGGAACACCAGUGGCGAAAGCGGCUUCCUGGUCCAGCACCGACGUUCAGGCACGAAAGCGUGGGGAGCAAACAGG